GCCAGGCACAGUGGUGCACGCCUGUAAUCCCAGUGCCUCGGGAGGCUGAGGCAGGAGGAUUGCAAGUUCAAAGCCAGCCUCAGCAACUCAGCAAGGCCCUAAGCAACUCAGUGAGACUCUGUCUCUA
Molecule: small RNA, 127 nt
Filed under: Marmota monax (woodchuck)
Lineage: Eukaryota; Metazoa; Chordata; Mammalia; Rodentia; Sciuridae
Source: RNAcentral